This 444-nucleotide ribosomal RNA is filed under the name uncultured bacterium. RNAcentral describes it as "partial 16S ribosomal RNA". It matches the Rfam family "Bacterial small subunit ribosomal RNA", at positions 354 to 796 of the family's 1533-position model. The record is from RNAcentral.
GUAGGGAAUAUUGGGCAAUGGUCGGAAGACUGACCCAGCCAUGCCGCGUGCAGGAAGACGGCCCUCUGGGUUGUAAACUGCUUUUAUCUGGGAAGAAAAAGGCCAUGCGUGGCAAAUUGCCGGUACCAGAUGAAUAAGCACCGGCUAACUCCGUGCCAGCAGCCGCGGUAAUACGGAGGGUGCAAGCGUUGUCCGGAUUUAUUGGGUUUAAAGGGUGCGUAGGCGGCUGAUUAAGUCAGCGGUGAAAGACUCCGGCUUAACCGGAGCAGUGCCGUUGAUACUGGUUAGCUUGAGUGUUGGAGGGGUACAUGGAAUUGAUGGUGUAGCGGUGAAAUGCAUAGAUACCAUCAGGAACACCGAUAGCGAAGGCAUUGUACUGGCCAACAACUGACGCUGAUGCACGAAAGUGUGGGGAUCGAACAGGAUUAGAAACCCUGGUAGUCC